CUCUAAUGUAUGUGUGAUGGAGAGCGCGAACUGUAUAAACAUUCACGUAACUGCUUUACGACUUGUACGAUAUAGAAUGAUAAUAAAUGGCGGGCGAGUUACGCGGUCACCACCGCCGCCAUUUGGAUCCUCUUAACGACACGAGGGAAUAAAAAAAAACGUAAGAACAAAAUUGGGCAUGCGAUGUUUUGACUCUGUCGGCUGUCAAAACCAAAUGAAGCCCGAUUCAACUUCGUCGAGUCCCUAAAAAAUAACGUUACGACACCGCCAUUAGGUACGUUGUCGAUUAAAAUAAAGAAUGAUACGAAAAAUAAGGAAAAAACAAAUUAUCCGUUUGAUCGAGCUUGAGUCUCGACCGUAAGUUCAAAUUAUAUCCUCAGAAAUUUCUGAGUGCUUAUUAAGUGCUACAAAAUUGAAACACUUGACUGAAGGAUUAAAGCAAAAAAAAUUUCUUUUUUUUCUACAGCGUUCGAAGGCCCUCAUCGAAAGAAUCGGGUCCUGGACGGAACUUGUAUACAAUUCUUUUCUCGAUGACCUCGGCACAGUGUGUGAAAAGAAAGUCGGGUUGGUCGUACAAAAACCUUUGGCUCUCGACAAAAGAUUGUUACGAAGAAAAAUGAUUGGUGUCGAGGGAGCAAUUGUAGCUGUCAGUAUAUUGUUGCUUUUCUUCUGGCACGAAGUCUCACCACGAAACAUCGUGACGUGCACUGCCAAGUUGAGAGAAAAAGAAGAAGACGGAGCGAGAGAAACACGUGCGGAAAUGAUGUCCAUAAGGAUGUGUCUCGGAAACGCGUUUAGUGGCCUUUCAUUCGACGUCUUUUCAACGAGUUUUUUUCUCCUCGGAGCAAAAGAACGUCGGCCAUUUCGUACUUACUGGGACUCCGAAGUGCCAGAGAACCGGAAACAACAGAGACUUUUAAUUUUGCGGUUGAUUCAUUCUGACGAUUUUGCGGACGAAUUUCAAUUCGGAAUGCAUAAUCAGGAGGCGAGAGAGGAGGAAAAAAAAUGGAGAACGAGAAAACUACCACGUGUGCGAGGUCCGGGCCAGGUCGAACAUAAAUAAUGCAUCAGGCAUUGUGCGCCGCGCCUCCCUGCAUACAAUACUUCUCAAGCGAUGCAUUCUAUUGUUAUCUUUCGAAAUAAACUCAGCUCAUCGGAGUUAGCUCUUCGGUGCAGUGCAUGAUAUUUCGAAUAACAUAAUACGUAUUAUACGCACUAUAAGUGGACUGAAAAAUAACACAGGUUCACUCAUAAAAAGCCACAAAUAAAUAC
Long non-coding RNA from Venturia canescens, 1272 nucleotides. RefSeq lists it as uncharacterized. NCBI's taxonomy places the organism in Eukaryota, Metazoa, Arthropoda, Insecta, Hymenoptera, Ichneumonidae. The transcript is spliced from 3 exons. The record is from RefSeq and is a predicted model, not a curated record.